RNAcentral lists this ribosomal RNA (357 nucleotides) under Euglossa iopoecila. RNAcentral's name for it is "partial 16S ribosomal RNA". Lineage: Eukaryota; Metazoa; Arthropoda; Insecta; Hymenoptera; Apidae. The record is from RNAcentral.
GUACUAAGGUAGCAUAAUCAAUUGUCUUUUAAUUGAAGAAUGGAAUGAAAGAAUUAAUGAAAUAUAUACUGUCUCAAUUAUAAAAAUUAAUUUAAAUUUUUAGUUAAAAUGCUAAAUUUAAAUUAUGGGACGAUAAGACCCUAUAGAAUUUUAUAUUAAAUUAUUUAUAAUAAUUAAUUAUUAAAUUGUUAUAAAUAAUUUAAUAUUUAAUUGGGAGGAUUUAUAAAUUUAAUAAACUUUAUAUUAAUAAUUAAACUUUGAUUUAAGAAAAUUUAAUUUGAUAUAGUAGUAUUAAUUAAGAAAAAAAAUUACCUUAGGGAUAACAGCGUAAUAUCUUUUUAAAGUACAAAUUAAUAA